UUGGGAAUAUUGCACAAUGGGCGCAAGCCUGAUGCAGCGACGCCGCGUGAGGGAUGACGGCCUUCGGGUUGUAAACCUCUUUCAGCAGGGAAGAAGCGAAAGUGACGGUACCUGCAGAAGAAGCACCGGCUAACUACGUGCCAGCAGCCGCGGUAAUACGUAGGGUGCAAGCGUUGUCCGGAAUUAUUGGGCGUAAAGAGCUCGUAGGCGGUUUGUCACGUCUGCUGUGAAAUCCCGAGGCUCAACCUCGGGCCUGCAGUGGGUACGGGCAGACUAGAGUGUGGUAGGGGAGACUGGAAUUCCUGGUGUAGCGGUGGAAUGCGCAGAUAUCAGGAGGAACACCGAUGGCGAAGGCAGGUCUCUGGGCCACUACUGACGCUGAGGAGCGAAAGCAUGGGGAGCGAACAGG
RNAcentral lists this ribosomal RNA (409 nucleotides) under uncultured bacterium. RNAcentral describes it as "bacterial SSU rRNA". It matches the Rfam family "Bacterial small subunit ribosomal RNA", at positions 355 to 776 of the family's 1533-position model. The record is from RNAcentral.